CCUCCCUCUUCCCCCACGACCGGUAGCCCAAAAUUUCCCCAAUUCCCCAAAUCUACACCCCUCCCUGGUUCCCUACCUUCGCUUCCUCUCCUGUCGCACCCCCCGAGUCGAUCUCCGCACUGUAUGGCGCCGACCACCAAGGAAGAGGAGGGGGGAGAGGCGUGGGAGUCAAGGCUGCUGCGGCGGCGGACUCCUGCAGGUUCCCCCACACCGCCUGCAGGGACCGCCCCGUCGCCACCGCCGUCGCAGCGGGGGAAGAGAGAAAGGCCCGGAUCCUCAAGAGGGCGGAAAAGAGCUAGGGCGACCGGCCGCGAGGACGAGAAGGAUGCCGAGGCUGCGGCGGCCUCAGCUUCACCACCCGCCGGGCAUGCUUCCUCCGGAGCAUCCUCUGGAACCAGCUCUCCUCUCCGUUGGCCUGAACUCCCUCGCGCCGUCUUAGGUGAAGAUUCCUACGGAGAGCAGAUUUUGGAGCCUUUCCAUGAGAUCGACCCGGCCAUUGUCAGGGCCCACGGCAAGCUGAAAACCAAAUAUUUUGCUAAACUGGAUCGCCAGCUCAAGUUAGUUUCGUUGGACCAGCGUAUUCCAUCUUCAUGCAUGGUAGAUCCAAGAUUGCUUUCAGUCCGUAAGGCGGCUACAAAUUCAAUUCUUCAAAUUGCUAAAGUCACAGUGGGUUUGUCAUCAUAUAUCGAUGAUAAAAUGUUGGGACGGACCUCUGGUUUUCUCAUAGAUUGGGAUGUGGAGAAUAGAAUUGGAACUGUGUUGACAUCUGCUCUCGUGAUCCAAUCAAAGUCUCCAUCACUUGAUGAGUGGUCAGCAACAGACGAGUAUGCUACCCAUGCUGAGGUCCGCGUUCAUUUCAUGGAUAAGGCUGCGACUACAGUAGUUGCUAACUUGCUGCACUACGACAAGCAUUACAAUCUUGCUUUGUUCAAGGUUUCUAUGGAUUUAUCUGCUCAGAUACCCUCAUUUACUAGUGAGCUGAAGUUUGCUGAAGAGGUUUUUGUGCUUGGAAGAGAUGAGGGUCGAUAUCUGACAAUAGAUCAUGGAAAUGUGGCAUAUGAGGGCCCAAGCAGGUUGCAACGCCACCAUUAUAUGUUUAUCACCCGUAGAAUAAAUAAGCUUGGUAUUGGUGGACCCGUCAUCAACCACGGUGGACAAGUUGCUGGGAUGUAUAGUCAUCCAGGACUGGCAUUUACACCCUCUUCUAUUAUAUUGAGGUGCCUGCAAAUGUGGAAGAGUUUCAACUGCAUACUGCGGCUGCACGUUGGGAUGAAGUUUUCAGCUAUUAGCCUCCUCGACCUUCCUCAUAGAGAGGUCAUCGCCUGCAAGUGUGAUAUCGAUGAUGGUCUCAUUGUUACACAGGUGUCUGAAGGAUCGAUUGCUGAGAAACUUGGUGUUAGGCAUGGUGAUAUUAUUAAAUCUUGGAAUGGAGAGAACAUAUCUACGACGAUUGAGCUAGAGAAUUUCUUGUUGGAUAUGUGCGAGAAGCAUCUGGACAAAGGAAACAGCAUUGGUUCCUCUGUGGAUUUAUCAAUUGGUAUCUUUCAUACGCGGAAAGGCAAACAUGGCACUAUCAAGAUGACAGUAAAUGUAUCAGAUGAUGUUGAAGUGAUUGCAGAAGGCACCUAUCCUGUCACUACUGCGGAUUGUACCUCGGGAGAUGACGAUGAUUCUGGUAUAAUUCAAGGUGAGUGCUUGUUUGCUUUCAGUUGCUAAACAUCAAAUUGUCAUUUUAUAUAUUUUGUGAAGAAACUCCUAUAAGGAAUCUUAGCUGUUCUAAAUUGUUGUCAUUAUCCAGUAUUUUCCCUAUCUGAUUGCAUUGAUUGACAUCUCACUGUAUAAUAUGUUACCUGAGCACGUUGGAUAUUAGAAUUGAUGUGAUUGCAUUAGUUCACGUUGGAUAUUAGAAUUGAUGUGAUUGCAUUAGUCUGAGAUGUGAGAAUUGAUGGGACUGCAUUAGUUUGGAAUGUGAGAGAGGGUAUCUCGUGAAACUCCUGAUGAUGAAGAUGGUGACAUGGAAAGUUAUUUUUUCUGAGCAUGGUACUCUGCGAUGAUGAAGUUGGCGAUGACUACGGUUUAGUCGACCACUUGAUUUCGUAGUUGCACUAGAACCAAAGUGAUCUUUUGUGUAAACUAACCAAUUGUGCAUGCAAGACAAACCGUGAGCUUAGUUUGGUCGACACUGAUGAAGCCACUUGUGAACCGUCAAGUUUUUGUAAAAAGAGUUGUCGAUUGACCUGUAGGCUAUGAAUGCUCAUUGCAACAAUGCACAAUUUAUGAGUCAAGUUUACUUAAGCCAUCUUUUAUGCUCAUCCUUUUGUUGUGUGACGUUCUUGACACGCUUGUUAGGUGGAUAUUUUAGUUUGACGUGACGGUUCUACAUGGUGCUUGGAUCCUUUGUAAUUGGAUGCAUAUGCAUAUUAAAAAUAUGGUACCAGCUGAAUUAUGAGA
Setaria italica (foxtail millet) is the source of this 2451-nucleotide RNA transcript. It is a transcript of the gene named probable periplasmic serine endoprotease DegP-like, with no coding region annotated. The transcript is spliced from 11 exons. The record is from RefSeq and is a predicted model, not a curated record. NCBI's taxonomy places the organism in Eukaryota, Viridiplantae, Streptophyta, Magnoliopsida, Poales, Poaceae.